UCGAACCAACCCGAUAUCUGAAAGAAACCUAGAAAGAGAGAAAGGCGCAAAAUCGGAGGAGGAUUACAAGAUGGUAUUGCCAGACGUUCUAAACGAUCCUGUAUUGGAAGGAAAGAGGAUUAGGGCUACUGCUGAAGAAACAGCUGAAAAUUUGAACAUGUUUGAGGAAUAGGUUAAGCAGAGAAGGAAAAGAUACGAAGAGCAACAGCAACUUAAGAAACUAGAGAAGAAAAAUAGCAAUCUGAAUGUUGAAGUGGAUGCGAAAGAUGAGAACAAACCAAAUAAGAAAUUUACGAGGGACAGGUUCGUGAAAAACUGGACUACUAAGCAUCCAGAGGGGCAAAACAUUGGGAUGUUACUGGCAUGGUAGUGUGGAAAUUUGAAGAAGACAGUCCGAGAGCAUGGGAGAGUGAAAAGUAGUGGAACCCUUUCCAUGGCAGCCCUCAAUCCGCCUUCCAUUUCUUGUUUGAUUUUCUUUUGAGACUGAAGCAAUACCAGAGGGGCAAAACAUUGGGAUGUUACUGGCAUGGUAGUGUGGAAAUUUGAAGAAGACAGUCCGAGAGCAUGGGAGAGUGAAAAGUAGUGGAACCCUUUCCAUGGCAGCCCUCAAUCCGCCUUCCAUUUCUUGUUUGAUUUUCUUUUGAGACUGAAGCAAUACCAGAGGGACUCCAUGGAGAUGGGACAACCUGGUGGUUAACCCUUUUACGCUCUUUAAACCUAUAAAAACUUUAACUUUCGUACUCGUGUCUCAUGGGAUUUGGAAGGAACCAUAAAAAAUGCUCUUAGUCUUAUGUUGCUGUCUGGCGGAGCCAAGAAAUUUUAGCUGUGGGGGACAAUCUACUAAUUAGAGACUUCAUGAUAUUUUUAAUCAGUAAGAAUACCAUUGAAUUAGGAUCAAAUUAUUAUUAAAGGAAAAAAAUCCUCAUUUUGGAAUAA
Long non-coding RNA from Papaver somniferum (opium poppy), 936 nucleotides. RefSeq lists it as uncharacterized. Lineage: Eukaryota; Viridiplantae; Streptophyta; Magnoliopsida; Ranunculales; Papaveraceae. The record is from RefSeq and is a predicted model, not a curated record. The transcript has 4 exons.